AACGAACGCUGCCGGCAGGCUUAACACAUGCAAGUCGAGCGCCCCGCAAGGGGAGUGGCAGACGGGUGAGUAACGCGUGGGAAUCUACCUAGUUCUACGGAACAACAGUUGGAAACGACUGCUAAUACCGUAUACGCCCUAUGGGGGAAAGAUUUAUCGGAAUUAGAUGAGCCCGCGUAAGAUUAGCUAGUUGGUGGGGUAAUGGCCUACCAAGGCGACGAUCUUUAGCUGGUCUGAGAGGAUGAUCAGCCACACUGGGACUGAGACACGGCCCAGACUCCUACGGGAGGCAGCAGUGGGGAAUAUUGGACAAUGGGCGCAAGCCUGAUCCAGCCAUGCCGCGUGAGUGAUGAAGGCCUUAGGGUUGUAAAGCUCUUUCAGUGGGGAAGAUAAUGACGGUACCCACAGAAGAAGCCCCGGCUAACUUCGUGCCAGCAGCCGCGGUAAUACGAAGGGGGCUAGCGUUGUUCGGAUUUACUGGGCGUAAAGCGCACGUAGGCGGAUUGUUAAGUCAGGGGUGAAAUCCUGGAGCUCAACUCCAGAACUGCCUUUGAUACUGGCAAUCUCGAGUCCGGAAGAGGUAAGUGGAACUCCUAGUGUAGAGGUGGAAUUCGUAGAUAUUAGGAAGAACACCAGUGGCGAAGGCGGCUUACUGGUCCGGA
RNAcentral lists this ribosomal RNA (662 nucleotides) under uncultured Alphaproteobacteria bacterium. RNAcentral describes it as "bacterial SSU rRNA". It matches the Rfam family "Bacterial small subunit ribosomal RNA", at positions 28 to 738 of the family's 1533-position model. The record is from RNAcentral. Lineage: Bacteria; Pseudomonadati; Pseudomonadota; Alphaproteobacteria.